AUAAAAUGUAUAUUAAGGCAAGACUCCAAAACGUGAUUGGUAUCAAAGAGUGAAGCACGUGGUCUUACAUGUGCUUCAACCACACCAUUGCUGGGUGGUCAAGGGAAGUGAUUGUCCCGCUCUACCGUGCGCUGGUGCGGCCUCACCUCGAGUACCAUGUGCAGUCUGAGGUACCACAGUAUAAGGCCAUAAAACUAUUAGAGAUCCUCCAAAGCAGGGUGACAAAGUUGGUGAAGGGUCUAGAGGGGAAGACACAUGAGGAGCAGCUGAAGUAACUGGGAUUGUUCAGCCCAGAGAAGAGGAAACUGAGGGGAGGCCUCAUGGCGGCCUGCAGCUCCCUCACGAGGGGAGUGGAGGGGCAGGCACUGAGCUCUGGGGACAGUGACAGGACCCGAGGGAACGGCAUGGAGCUGGGACAGGGGGGGGUCAGGCUGGAUUUUUGGGUGCUCCUGUGUGGAGUCAGGAGUUGAACUCCAUGAUCCUUGUGGAUCCCUUCCAACUCAGGAUACUCCAUGAUUAUAAAUAAAAAAACAUUCUUCCAGUUUCACCAUGGACACAGACUUCUGACAACUGCUUGGAUAGAAGUGUUGGAGCCUGAGAAAUUGGCAUGUUUCAGGCGUUUGGACAUGCUUACCCUGAGUUUGUCCUGACCUACCUAGAGGAACUAAAUGAAAGAGGAGGUGACCCAGACAGAAAACCGCAUUCACCAUGGGGCCUGAUCUGCAGCUCAUCGGGAGAUAGACAGCAGCUCAGCAGAAGAGAUACCACAAAAAAAUGUCAGCAACCCCAAUCAGAAACAACUUUCAGGACCUUUGGACGCCCAUUUAAUGCCUGCAGAUCCCCUAGGGGAGACUACACAGCUGACAGUGGCACUGGUGAGGAAACUAGAAGAGAAACAUCCUAAGGCCUCAGCUUAAAGUCCUAUCUAGGAUAAUGGCACGCUUGAACUGUUCGUUUCCCAUCAUCAUGCCGCCUGAAGCAGGAAGCCCACAUGGCAAGCUGUGAGGGAUUUCCUCUUCUUGAAGGUGGGCUUUUUAUGCAACUGGUCUGACCUAUGGUUUCUGUUGUUACGUGUUUCUGUGUGUGGGUGCAUAGGCAUUACAGCAUUUAAUCUACUUUUAAAAAUUCAGAUUGUCUGACUCCAUAGGCUUCUAUGGUGUCCUUAAUCAAAUUAAGG
RNAcentral lists this long non-coding RNA (1177 nucleotides) under Anas platyrhynchos platyrhynchos (common mallard). RNAcentral's name for it is "lncRNA (ENSAPLG00000018019.1)". Lineage: Eukaryota; Metazoa; Chordata; Aves; Anseriformes; Anatidae. The record is from RNAcentral.